RNAcentral lists this ribosomal RNA (449 nucleotides) under uncultured bacterium. RNAcentral describes it as "bacterial SSU rRNA". It matches the Rfam family "Bacterial small subunit ribosomal RNA", at positions 329 to 793 of the family's 1533-position model. The record is from RNAcentral.
UGCCAGACUCCUACGGGAGGCAGCAGUGGGGGAUAUUGGACAAUGGGGGGAACCCUGAUCCAGCGACGCCGCGUGAGUGAAGAAGUAUCUCGGUAUGUAAAGCUCUAUCAGCAGGGAAGAAAGAAAUGACGGUACCUGAGUAAGAAGCCCCGGCUAACUACGUGCCAGCAGCCGCGGUAAUACGUAGGGGGCAAGCGUUAUCCGGAAUUACUGGGUGUAAAGGGAGCGUAGACGGUGAAGUAAGUCUGGAGUGAAAGGCGGGGCCCAACCCCCGGACUGCUCUGGAAACUAUUUGGCUGGAGUGCAGGAGAGGUAAGCGGAAUUCCUAGUGUAGCGGUGAAAUGCGUAGAUAUUAGGAGGAACACCAGUGGCGAAGGCGGCUUACUGGACUGUAACUGACGUUGAGGCUCGAAAGCGUGGGGAGCAAACAGGAUUAGAUGCCCCGGUAC